This 18-nucleotide unclassified non-coding RNA is filed under the name Chlamydomonas reinhardtii. RNAcentral describes it as "small RNA Cre_2003". Lineage: Eukaryota; Viridiplantae; Chlorophyta; Chlorophyceae; Chlamydomonadales; Chlamydomonadaceae. The record is from RNAcentral.
GUAGGUAGUACGGUAAGU